Molecule: ribosomal RNA, 301 nt
Filed under: uncultured bacterium
Lineage: Bacteria
Description: partial 16S ribosomal RNA
Rfam family: Bacterial small subunit ribosomal RNA
Source: RNAcentral
CAGUCGCCGCGGUAAUACGAAGGGGGCUAGCGUUGUUCGGAAUUACUGGGCGUAAAGCGCACGUAGGCGGAUAUUUAAGUCAGGGGUGAAAUCCCAGAGCUCAACUCUGGAACUGCCUUUGAUACUGGGUAUCUUGAGUAUGGAAGAGGUAAGUGGAAUUCCGAGUGUAGAGGUGAAAUUCGUAGAUAUUCGGAGGAACACCAGUGGCGAAGGCGGCUUACUGGUCCAUUACUGACGCUGAGGUGCGAAAGCGUGGGGAGCAAACAGGAUUAGAUACCCCUGUAGUCCCUGUCUCUUAUAC